RNAcentral lists this ribosomal RNA (253 nucleotides) under uncultured bacterium. Its description in RNAcentral is "partial 16S ribosomal RNA". It matches the Rfam family "Bacterial small subunit ribosomal RNA", at positions 524 to 776 of the family's 1533-position model. The record is from RNAcentral.
UACGUAGGGUGCGAGCGUUAAUCGGAAUUACUGGGCGUAAAGGGCGCGUAGGCGGCCUGCUAAGUCGAACGUGAAAUCCCUGGGCUCAACCCAGGAACUGCGUCCGAUACUGGUUGGCUUGAAUCCGGGAGAGGGACGUGGAAUUCCAGGUGUAGCGGUGAAAUGCGUAGAUAUCAGGAGGAAUACCGGUGGCGAAAGCGACUCUCUGGACGGCAACUGACGCUGAGGCACGAAAGCGUGGGGAGCAAACAGG